Molecule: non-coding RNA, 575 nt
Organism: Dicentrarchus labrax (European seabass)
Lineage: Eukaryota; Metazoa; Chordata; Actinopteri; Moronidae
Source: the annotation of a RefSeq genome assembly
UCAGUCAAUAAAUAUCACUGUUAUCCUUUUUAUUUUUUCAACACCAUGAGGAGGAGUCAAUGCAAAUUUGGAUCUCUUCCAUCUUUAUUAUUUAGCUCACUGCAAACUGGAGACACAGCAAACCAUCAUCCAGACACACAACACAUUUUCACUAUGACUUUAACAGCAUGUAUACUGUUUCUGAUGGUAUCACUGAUUUCUGGUGUUUGCAGUCAGACUCUGACUGAGUCUGAACCAGUGGUGAAGAGGCCGGGAGAAUCCCACAAACUGACCUGUACAUAUGCAGGAAUAUCAGAUAAUGAUGCUCAUAUCGGCUGGAUCAGACAAGCUGAAGGAAAAGGACUGGAGUGGGUUGCUUACAUUUCUGCUCCGAGUGGAAGCACUAAAGCUUAUUCCACGUCAGGCCAGAAUCGCUUCACCAUCUCCAGAGACAACAACGUGGACCAGGUGUAUCUGCAGAUGAACAGCCUGACAACUGAAGAUUCUGCUGUUUAUUAUUGUGCUCGAGAGCCACAGUGACACAGGGAGCCACAGAGCCAUACAGAAACCACUACAGACAGUCACUGAUAGAAAAU